AGGGCACCACCAGGAGUGGAGCCUGCGGCUUAAUUUGACUCAACACGGGAAAUCUCACCAGGCCCGGACACCGGUAGGAUUGACAGAUUGAGAGCUCUUUCUUGAUUCGGUGGGUGGUGGUGCAUGGCCGUUCUUAGUUGGUGGAGCGAUUUGUCUGGUUAAUUCCGAUAACGAACGAGACUCUGGCCUACUAACUAGACGUUAGAUCCCUUCGUGGGUCUAUCGUAGCUUCUUAGAGGGACGGGCGGCGUUUAGCCGCACGAGAUUGAGCAAUAACAGGUCUGUGAUGCCCUUAGAUGUUCUGGGCUGCACGCGCGCUACACUGAAGGAAUCAGCGUGUGUUCCCUACCCGAAAGGGUUGGGAAACCCGUUGAACCUCCUUCGUGAUGGGGAUUGGGGAUUGCAAUUAUUCCCCAUGAACGAGGAAUUCCCAGUAGGCGCGAGUCAUAAGCUCGCGUCGAUUACGUCCCUGCCCUUUGUACACACCGCCCGUCGCUACUACCGAUCGAGUUAUUUAGU
This 519-nucleotide ribosomal RNA is filed under the name uncultured eukaryote. Its description in RNAcentral is "SSU rRNA". It matches the Rfam family "Eukaryotic small subunit ribosomal RNA", at positions 1161 to 1702 of the family's 1831-position model. The record is from RNAcentral.